GAUGAACGCUGACAGAAUGCUUAACACAUGCAAGUCUUUGGCGAAGCUGUGCUUGCACCGCCUAGCCAAGGCGGACGGGUGAGUAACGCGUAAGGAACUUGCCCUGCAGUCAGGGAUAACAGACGGAAACGACUGAUAAGACCUGGUAAAGUCAGGCGGACUCAUGUCCAGCCUGAUGAAAAGAGAUGCUGCAGGAGAGCCUUGCGUCCUAUUAGCUUGUUGGUGGGGUAACGGCCCACCAAGGCGAUGAUAGGUAGCCGGCCUGAGAGGGUGGACGGCCACAAGGGGACUGAGAUACGGCCCUUACUCCUACGGGAGGCAGCAGUGGGGAAUAUUGGACAAUGGGGGCAACCCUGAUCCAGCAAUUCUGUGUGCACGAUGAAGGUUUUCGGAUUGUAAAGUGCUUUCAGCAGGGAAGAAAAAAAUGACGGUACCUGCAGAAGAAGCGACGACUAAAUACGUG
Molecule: ribosomal RNA, 463 nt
Filed under: uncultured bacterium
Lineage: Bacteria
Description: partial 16S ribosomal RNA
Rfam family: Bacterial small subunit ribosomal RNA
Source: RNAcentral